UACGUAGGGUGCAAGCGUUAUCCGGAAUUAUUGGGCGUAAAGAGCUCGUAGGCGGUUUGUCGCGUCUGCUGUGAAAACUGGAGGCUCAACCUCCAGCCUGCAGUGGGUACGGGCAGACUAGAGUGCGGUAGGGGAGAUUGGAAUUCCUGGUGUAGCGGUGGAAUGCGCAGAUAUCAGGAGGAACACCGGUGGCGAAGGCGGGUCUCUGGGCAAUAACUGACGCUGAGGAGCGAAAGCGUGGGGAGCAAACAGG
RNAcentral lists this ribosomal RNA (253 nucleotides) under uncultured bacterium. RNAcentral's name for it is "partial 16S ribosomal RNA". It matches the Rfam family "Bacterial small subunit ribosomal RNA", at positions 524 to 776 of the family's 1533-position model. The record is from RNAcentral.